UCUGGAUUUUCGUUUUAGCAUAUCAGAAGCCUUACCUUCCAGGUUAACUGACAAAAUGGCUAGUUAAGAUUGAUGGGUUGUCUUCUAUUCCUGAAAGAGCUUAUGAGGUAUUUUUUGGUGGAGCUCUGGUGCCUGUCCUUGUAAAUGAGGGUGAUAUUUUUUCAUUUCCUGUCUUCUUUCCCUAUCGUAUGAACAUUUGUUAGUAGAUAUGUAUAUCUAUAAGGGCGUGUUGCCUAUUUCCUUUGAUGGCCGUACGUUUGGAUGUUAGUCGUUUCAUUUUACAAUUUUGUCAUUAAUGAAUCAGCCAUUGAGAGACUUUCUUCUCGAAUUCUCUUUUACUCGAGAAUUCACCUAUCUAUAUAGGGUUGUCCA
Molecule: long non-coding RNA, 372 nt
Organism: Olea europaea var. sylvestris
Lineage: Eukaryota; Viridiplantae; Streptophyta; Magnoliopsida; Lamiales; Oleaceae
Exons: 2
Source: RefSeq, a predicted model, not a curated record